UUUCGGCAUUGUGCACUGCACUCCCUUGCAAAGUCGCGCACGUCACCGCGGCGGGCGGCCGUUUCGUCUUUCUCGGCCGCUGCCUUCCUUUCUGGACUGACCGACCAGACCAACCUGUCAAAAAACGGCCAUCAUCAUUCUGCAUUCGAGAUCGUCGCCGUCGGUUGUUCGUUCCGCCGCAGCAGCAGUUUCCUUCAUCAUUGCUCGUUUUAGUGGUGGCCGUGUGACCGUCCGUCCGUCCGUUCCUUCGGUUCUGGCAGUAAUCGGUUCGCGACGGGAAUUAUGUGGAAGGUAAUGUGAAACUAGCAGUGAUUGUGUCCAGCGUACUAGAAUCGGAUUUUCCGAUGGGUGUUGUGGUGGCGCUACGCGAUGGCCAUCAGCCAAUAUAAAUUUGCUGUAUGAUGGUGGGUUGCUUGCAUCAGUGAAGAAAAAAUAUUGCAGUGUUUUCCUCCUGCGGGGCGCGUCCAGUUCAGCCUCGAAGUGAAACUAGUUCAAAGAAGUUCUUUCUCGGAGUUGUGAGGAAAAAGUUUAUCUAUACGUGGGCGGUGAGGAAAACCAGAAUAUUGGGGAUCGGAAAAUUUGAGUGGAAGUACCUGUCUAGUGGCGCAGAAGGUUUGACACCGAUCGAGAAGCAUUAAAAAAACACGGAGAAGCUAAUCUGAAGUGAUUAUUCAGACAAAUCUGAAGAAGAAACUACAAAAAGGCUAGAAGAAUCCAAGAAGAAUCAAAAGUGAUAGUGAUUCUCACACAGCCUACUUAUACUGAGAAGCUCCGUGGAAGCUGAUGUGGUGUGAUGUGACACACGAAAGAAAUGAGAGGCGUUAGGCAAUCGCAACCGCAGCAACAACAACAAAAACAACAGCAACGUGCAUUUCGAUUUCGCGCAGCAGCCUACUACCAUGGGAAUGGGGCGAGAAUUCCCCCUAUUAGCGUGUGAUAACGACGAUAUGUGAUGAUAGUUUGCCGCAUCGUACAGGAAACGGCAAACGAAGAAGAAGAAGAAGAAGCAGAAAGAAGGGAAGUGUGUGGAAGUGUAAAUGCAGUUAUCGUCGUCACCCGCCCUCUGUCGGCCUUCCUGUCUGCGCCAGUAGUGUAUGUGUGAGGGGAUUGAUAGUGAAAUUCGGGGCGUCGUCGUGCAGUGAGUGCGCUGGGGAUCAAGUGUUGUGGGGGUUUGGACUAAGGAAGAGAUCUACAAGAAGGAGGAGGAAGAGUAGGAGUUGCAGGAGGAGUUGAACAAACAACCGUAGUAGUGACGGAUCGAACAAAGUGGAAGCUGCAAAAUGACGGUGGAUUUUAACGAUUACUUUUGG
Molecule: long non-coding RNA, 1310 nt
Organism: Aedes albopictus (Asian tiger mosquito)
Lineage: Eukaryota; Metazoa; Arthropoda; Insecta; Diptera; Culicidae
Exons: 2
Source: RefSeq, a predicted model, not a curated record